UCGACCCACUGUGCGUCGGUCUGUCGAGUAAUAUCACCCGCUCGGUGGAAGAUCUUCCCUUUGUCGU
This 67-nucleotide microRNA precursor is filed under the name Bombyx mori (domestic silkworm). RNAcentral's name for it is "mir-2774 microRNA precursor family". It matches the Rfam family "mir-2774 microRNA precursor family". Lineage: Eukaryota; Metazoa; Arthropoda; Insecta; Lepidoptera; Bombycidae. The record is from Rfam by way of RNAcentral.